GUAAGGAAUAUUGGACAAUGGACGCAAGUCUGAUCCAGCCAUGCCGCGUGAAGGAUUAAGGUCCUCUGGAUUGUAAACUUCUUUUAUAAGGGACGAAAAAAGGCUUUUCUAAGUCGUCUGACGGUACCUUAUGAAUAAGCACCGGCUAACUCCGUGCCAGCAGCCGCGGUAAUACGGAGGGUGCAAGCGUUAUCCGGAUUCACUGGGUUUAAAGGGUGCGUAGGCGGGCAGGUAAGUCAGUGGUGAAAUCCUAGAGCUUAACUCUAGAACUGCCAUUGAUACUAUCUGUCUUGAAUAUUGUGGAGGUAAGCGGAAUAUGUCAUGUAGCGGUGAAAUGCUUAGAUAUGACAUAGAACACCUAUUGCGAAGGCAGCUUACUACGCAUAUAUUGACGCUUAGGCACGAAAGCGUGGGGAUCAAACAGGAUUAGAUACCCUUGUAGUCC
This 445-nucleotide ribosomal RNA is filed under the name uncultured bacterium. RNAcentral describes it as "bacterial SSU rRNA". It matches the Rfam family "Bacterial small subunit ribosomal RNA", at positions 354 to 796 of the family's 1533-position model. The record is from RNAcentral.